AUUGAACGCUGGCGGCAGGCCUAACACAUGCAAGUCGAGCGAGCGGCGGACGGGUGAGUAAUGUCUGGGCACCUGCCUGAUGGAGGGGGAUAACUACUGGAAACGGUAGCUAAUACCGCAUACCAUCAGAUGUGCCCAGAUGGGAUUAGCUAGUAGGUGGGGUAAUGGCUCACCUAGGCGACGAUCCCUAGCUGGUCGGAGAGGAUGAACAGCCACACUGGAACGGAGACACGGUCCAGACGCCUACGGGAGGCAGCAGUAGGGAAUAUUGCACAAUGGGCGCAAGCCUGAUGCAGCCAUGCCGCGUGUGUGAAGAAGGCCUUCGGGUUGUAAAGCACUUUCGGCGAGGAGGCGUUACUCGCAGAAGAAGCACCGGCUAACUCCGUGCCAGCAGCCGCGGUAAUAC
This 406-nucleotide ribosomal RNA is filed under the name uncultured bacterium. RNAcentral describes it as "partial 16S ribosomal RNA". It matches the Rfam family "Bacterial small subunit ribosomal RNA", at positions 30 to 526 of the family's 1533-position model. The record is from RNAcentral.